Molecule: long non-coding RNA, 5052 nt
Organism: Hylaeus anthracinus
Lineage: Eukaryota; Metazoa; Arthropoda; Insecta; Hymenoptera; Colletidae
Exons: 8
Source: RefSeq, a predicted model, not a curated record
ACUCAAUAAAAUAAAGAUUCCAAAGGGGAUCACGUCCAUUCAUCAGGAUCAAACUACUGAAAUCUCAACUACUUCAGCGAUUUUGUUAAUAUUCAGACGUCCAUUGCUGGCGAAGUAACAUGGAGACAGUUUCCAUUGAGACUACCUUUAACGAAUACAAAGAUAAUUAAAAAGAAAGAAUUGCGGCACGGGCACUCACUAAAUAUCCUGUUUUCGUAAAAUUAUCGACACGGCCGCCAUUAAGGAUGCUGACACGAAUUACAGCGGUCACGAAUUAAGAGACGCGGGAUCACGAGUAUUCGUUGCUUGGACCCCCUCCCGUUCGUCUCGAUCUCUUUUUCCACGCUCGGCCGAGCGUUUUACUAAAUUACUCGAGGCUACUGUGUAAAAUAUAGCCGCCGCCGAUGAUAUCGUUGUACCCGCCGCCCGAGACGCGCCAAUGGGACUCGUUUAAUUACACGAUAAAUUUUCAUCCGGGCAAACACCUGUCCACAGUUUAUUAAAAAGUAAUUGGUCGAUGUGUAUCGUCUCUCGCCGGCGCGUUUGAUAAAUAAAAUUUACUUUGCCGAUUAAAAUUCGUGACUUUAUGGGACGCCUGAAGAACAUCCAGAGUAAUUAAUGGUUGCACUUGAUUAGUAUAAGUAUAAUGCUAGCCGCGUAUACCGUUGUUUUCCCGUAGCGUUGGAGUAAUUUAUUUUGAAAGUUUAUCGACUGAUAACGGGUGUGGCCAGACGAGCGAUUUAUUUAUUUGUGGAGAGGGAUGAACUUCGUACAGAUGGGAAGGAAUUAAAUGCUUAGGCUAAGAUUUUCUACCCAAGUCCUUUCCAGUGUCGAUUGCGCCCCCCAAAUACUAUACUUUCAAACCGAAUUUUCGCUCAGAAGCAAACGCGAGAUCGAUUGGACAGAUACCAGUGGAAUCUGGGACUCGAAGGCUGGUAUUCGAAAAGUGCCGGCUGGAAGAGCCGAGUCGUAAAAUCGUAGAGGAACGUCGCCACCAUUCGGCGCGCCGUUAAAUUACAGAGGACGCGAACAAUGUCUGAAUCGCUUCUGUCAUCGUCGUUUACUCGUCGAAUCGUCGCGCAGUGCCGCGAGAACUAUUUCGCGCGGCGAUCACGCAAAUGGCCAUUGGUCGGCGCGAGUUACGAUCCUGCGGAACAAUCUUCGAUUGCGUUUGAAGACCAGACGGUUCGUCGUGGACAAAUAACGCAGUUCGCGGAUUGUGCUUGGAAGUUUGCUGCGGAUUGCGCUGUUUCGAAUGGCUCGAUUACUCCUAAUUGUCAGACUUUAGUGGACGAUUUGAACGAGUGAGGAAGAAGAAGAAGAAGAAGAAGAAGAAGACUAUUGUUGUGUAGGAGAUGAACUUCAAACACGAUGUUGAUUAUAGUGAAGAUCAUACAUUAAUUAUCCUAUACUGGGGAUGUUAUGCAAAGAUGAACUUCAAACACGAUGUUGAUUAUAGUGAAGAUCAUACAUUAAUUAUCCUAUACUGGGGAUGUUAUGGAAAGAUAAACUUCAAAAAAUUGCUAGUCGCCAACGGCGUAUGGAGUUCCCAGAUGGUCACCCAUUUACACAAACUAAUUAUCCAAUUACAGAGAAGACUGUGUUCCGUAACGAUAGAGUCGUAAUCAAGCCUUUGCUAGCUAGAAUUGCAAUGGUGAACAUCGAAGUUAGGCGCAUCAGUGACUGGUUGCGUGUCUGACAUGGAAUGAUGAUUCUACUGAACAGUGAUCUUGGCUGUUCCAGUGUUGCUUGAGAGCAUGCGACUAUGUCCAUUCUAUCGAUAGUCGAAGAUUAAGUUGCAAAUUACAGGUUUUUAGAAUAAUUACCUUCAAAGAAAUGCUUAUAUCUUUCUUUUCAAAGAUCAAGUCACUGCAAAAACACGUGAGCUUCUUACAAAUGGGACUUGAAUCGGCAUACACCCACACACAUAUAACCGAGUUAUAAUAUUAUGUUGGCUAAAAAGUUCGUUCGGUUUAUGGUGGUGUUUGUUUUAACUUGGUGAAGACUUUUACAAACCCAGUAUCAUGAAUUUGCCCAAAAGAUAGUAAAAGAUCAUAUAACAGAAUGGACAAUACAUUAUAGAAUAAAUAUAUUUUCAUGUCUAAAAAAAAUCUUAGACUUAAUACAUAUAAUAAUAACCGAAUAUUUUUCAUAGCAUCUAGAAUAUAUACAAAUAUUAUAUAAAAGAACAAUUCUGAUCUUCGAUUCAAUUGGAAUUAUUUCCAAAAGGUCACACUUGGACGACUGCUAAUUUGGUUGCCUCUUUUUUACUAAUUCUUCUCGAAAACAAUUAAACAUAAAAUAAAUAAUCGAACUCGUGUAGAAAACUACGAUUGCUAAGUUGUUCAAAGAAAACGUAACCAACGUUAUCGUCGUCUGUAAUAACUGAACGAAAAAAGUGUGUCGACCUCCAACACAGUAACAUCAACCACGCAAGAUGUGAAAUUGAAUAUCACUGGUCAAAAUUGACCCAGCUCGAAAAAUUCCUAAAGUCACGCGUACUGUUUUCGUGUCUCCAGGUAAACGUAACCCCGUGACGCUUCCACAGACCGUUUCAGCGCGGAUAUUCCAAGUUUUCGAUCAGCACGAGCUGAUCGACUUUUUGUCACGGCUGCUUUUUGCGCGAUCAUCGCCACCUUCGUCACGGCCACGCCCGGGCACGUGAGGCACGUGUACUCCAACACGGUGUUACAGGUGUUUGCCCAUCCUCGGACGUCAAGGAUUCUUUUACGCUCUUUCGGGCUCAGUCUAUUAACGCCUGCUGCCUAGCAACUUCUUGAACUCCGAACUACGGUGACUCAUGUUUUAUUUAAUUCCAUUCGGUUCGCUGCUCGAAUUCCUACCAUCGGGUUCCUCUUCGUUUUCUACGGUUCGCUUCGACACAGUACACUGUUCCCAUGGCUCUCAGCUUCUUUUUUCCUCUUAGCUUUUUCCAGCCCUCUCCCCUUUUUUUUCUCUUCAGUGUCGUCGAAAGAGUCGUAACUUCGUUAAGCGUUUUUACCAGGAAUCGGUAGCCAGCGGAACUCGACGAUUUGAAACACAAAAUUGCCUUGGGUUUUAUUAACGGGUGAAAGAAAGGUUUUAGGUGGAUUAUUCCGUGGAACAAAUCGUCGAAAGUUUUAGAAAACGGAGUUGUAGGAGAGAGCAUGAUAGUAUUCUUGCCGUUGGGUUUGUUUUGGGGACAGUUCGAUACCGGAGGCCUAUGAUGAUUUCUUCGCGUAGUCGACGCUUGGAAUUAGGCUCUUUGAAAUCUUUUGUCGAUAGCGUGGUGUAAACGAAAUUUUUCAAACGCGCAGUGUAGACAUAUUGUUUUUGUGGGAUCUCAUAGUAGGAGCGGAUAAAACGUUUUGGUGCCUUGAGGAUUAGUAUACUGUGUUAUCCUUGGUUUUUUUUAGGUGGAAAUUAGGUUAAAAGACUUUCAUUUAAGCGUAUAUUAAAUCUACUAUCAUGUCGGAAUUAACCCUUUGCACUCGAGGCAUUCUAUUGCCACGAAUCUAAGCUUACAUUGACCUUGCAGAUGUAGCUACUUUGAGAUUUAAAAAUCAGGUCACCUUUACCUCACCGACAAUCAUUUUAUUGACAUUUUGAGAUUCAAAGAAAUUAAACCUCAAUAAACGUUAUUGUUGAUUGAUUCGCUGCGUGAAAUCUAGUGGCGACCGAGAGUCACUUAUCGAGUGCAAAGGGUUAAUAAGUUUGGAUCUCUGUAACGAUUCCCAAUUUAUUCGACGAAACUUGCACAUUUACACUAAUCAACAAAGUAUAUCCACUUCUCAAUUAUAAUUCUACUAAACUACGCCUAGAGUUACCACUUGUAUUUCCGUCCCAAUUAAAUUUCUCAUCAACAAAAUAACUAUUCAAUGCGCGUACGCCAUGGCAGAGAAUUUCGAAACGUAGAAAGUGGAUAAUAAGCGUAAUGUUUAAUUCCGUGGAUGGUCGAAUUGUUUUCCUGGCACUUUUACCAGACUCUUGGUGGCUCCUCGCCGGCGAUAGGAGCGUUAAAUAAUUUCUGCGGAAUGACGGAAAGUACUUUAAGCCAGUGCUAUCUUCGCGUUCGCGGCAACGAACGUACGAGAAGAAUCGUUCGACAAGAAACCGAUGAAGGGUUUAUCUUAAUCCACGGUUCACCGAGCAGACGAGCUCCUCGCCAAUCCCCAUUGACCACCCCUUCGAUCGACUGUACCCCCUGCACACCCUUUUGCCAUAACCGAUCACACUUCGCUUGUUUUACUAGCCACUUUUUACCCACUGACAAACUUGCAACCAGAAUCACGUCCUUCACCCAUGCGCGACAACAUAAUGUUACUCCCAUAACGUUCAUUCUUGGAUAGACUCUCUACACACUAUUGUGUGUUGGUACAUUGUUUCACUGAAUUCAAAGGGGAUACAAACGUUCGGAGGCUCGUCUGUCCCGUGACUUUUACUCUAAGAUUAACCUUCUAUGGAUCUGGCUAACUUUCAGGUCACAUGUUAAUAUAUCAGCAUUUUACCAAAUGAUUUUAAUCUUUUCACAAAAUGACGUAUAUGUCUUAAUUAUAUACUAUCUCUGAUAAUCACUAAUAAUAUUAAUGGUGGUUGACAGCACCAACAAUUUGAAAUAUUAAAAUAAAUGCCUUGCAAGUUGUUUGCAGAAAACAAAAAUUCGGUCCAUAGAGGAUUAAAGUGCUUUCAGGUGCCAUGCUAUUAAUAUUUCUGGAGUGGUAUUAUUUUAGAUAUAUUGAGAUUUUAUUUUGCUUGUAAUUUUGUACUCUUUGUUCAAUAGCAUUCGAUAACUAUCAAUAUCAAGAAUAAAUGAUAUUGGGUACUUCAAUACGUUGUGAGAUGUUUCACUUAAAAUACUUAUGAAAAAGAAAUUAAAUCGUUUUGGGGCAGAAAUUAAAUUCAAUGUGGAAAGAAUUGUAGUGGUCUAUGUUAAAAUAAUUGUAGUGGUGCUAUGAGAUUCUCUAUAAAAGAUAAAGAGUACGAGUGUGUAAAUUGUUUCAUUUCUCUUCUUCUUUAUUCAGGAAUAUCACGGAAAUUAAAUCUUCAUACAAAAUGAAAUAAAAUUCCAUGUAA